This 497-nucleotide ribosomal RNA is filed under the name uncultured bacterium. RNAcentral describes it as "partial 16S ribosomal RNA". It matches the Rfam family "Bacterial small subunit ribosomal RNA", at positions 28 to 507 of the family's 1533-position model. The record is from RNAcentral.
GAUGAACGCUGGCGGCGUGCCUAAUACAUGCAAGUCGAGCGAACGGACGAGAAGCUUGCUUUUCUGAUGUUAGCGGCGGACGGGUGAGUAACACGUGGAUAACCUACCUAUAAGACUGGGAUAACUUCGGGAAACCGGAGCUAAUACCGGAUAAUAUUUUGAACCGCAGGGUUCAAAAGUGAAAGACGGUCUUGCUGUCACUUAUAGAUGGAUCCGCGCUGCAUUAGCUAGUUGGUAAGGUAACGGCUUACCAAGGCAACGAUGCAUAGCCGACCUGAGAGGGUGAUCGGCCACACUGGAACUGAGACACGGUCCAUGCUCCUACGGGAGGCAGCAGUAGGGAAUCUUCCGCAAAGGGCGAAAGCCUGACGGAGCAACGCCGCGUGAGUGAUGAAGGUCUUCGGAUCGUAAAACUCUGUUAUUAGGGAAGAACAUAUGUGUAAGUAACUGUGCACAUCUUGACGGUACCUGAUCAGAAAGCCACGGCUAACUACGUG